UUCCCCAUCGUAGUACGAUUUUUUUCGAGCUGAAACACCCCAAAACCUGGUCAAAAUCAUAGCCCGAUGAAUAAAAUCGUAGCCCGAUUUCUGCCUGACAGACAACAUCAGAUUUUCCAAUUUUCACGUUUUCGCGCGUAAAAACCAAACCGUUAACCCGUUUUCGAUGCCGUUUUCGCCUACACGCUCCUGACACUUAGC
Molecule: long non-coding RNA, 201 nt
Filed under: Medicago truncatula (barrel medic)
Lineage: Eukaryota; Viridiplantae; Streptophyta; Magnoliopsida; Fabales; Fabaceae
Description: long non-coding RNA (MTRU_LNC007530)
Source: RNAcentral